RNAcentral lists this ribosomal RNA (253 nucleotides) under uncultured bacterium. Its description in RNAcentral is "partial 16S ribosomal RNA". It matches the Rfam family "Bacterial small subunit ribosomal RNA", at positions 524 to 776 of the family's 1533-position model. The record is from RNAcentral.
GACGAACCACCCAAACGUUAUUCGGAAUUACUGGGCUUAAAGAGUGCGUAGGCGGUCAUGUAAGUAGGGUGUGAAAUCCCACAGCUCAACUGUGGAACUGCGCUCUAAACUACAUGACUAGAGGGAUAUAGAGGUGAGCGGAACUGAUGGUGGAGCGGUGAAAUGCGUUGAUAUCAUCAGGAACACCGGAGGCGAAGGCGGCUCACUGGGUAUCUUCUGACGCUGAGGUACGAAAGCUAGGGGAGCGAACGGG